This 89-nucleotide transfer RNA is filed under the name Xanthomonas arboricola. RNAcentral describes it as "tRNA-OTHER". Lineage: Bacteria; Pseudomonadati; Pseudomonadota; Gammaproteobacteria; Lysobacterales; Lysobacteraceae. The record is from RNAcentral.
AAUAAGUGAGGCAAGCUGCUGAUUCGUAAGCUCAGUAGCGUUAACUGUUAAUCAGGGGGUCGUUGGUUCGAGUCCAACUUCGGGCGCCA